CCCUUAGAUGUCCUGGGCCGCACGCGCGCUACACUGAACGGAUCAGCGCGUUUUCCCUUCCCGAGAGGGACGGGUAACCUGCUGAACCCCGUUCGUGGUAGGGAUCGGGGCUUGCAAUUAUUCCCCGUGAACCAGGAAUGCCCAGUAAGUGCAAGUCAUAAGCUUGCGUUGAUUACGUCCCUGCCCUUUGUACACACCGCCCGUCGCUACUACCGAUUGAGUGAUCCGGUGAAUAAUUCGGACUGCAGCACUGCUUGGUCUCCAGGCUUUGCAGCGGAAAGUUUAGUGAACCUUAUCACUUAGAGGAAGGAGAAGUCGUAACA
RNAcentral lists this ribosomal RNA (323 nucleotides) under uncultured eukaryote. RNAcentral's name for it is "partial 18S ribosomal RNA". It matches the Rfam family "Eukaryotic small subunit ribosomal RNA", at positions 1470 to 1796 of the family's 1831-position model. The record is from RNAcentral.